CGCUGAAGGCGUGAUGAGUCUGUCAUGUCUCUUCUCUGACUGUCACUGGAGAAACAUUUACAUCUCUGAUCUUAGAACG
Molecule: small nucleolar RNA, 79 nt
Filed under: Fundulus heteroclitus (mummichog)
Lineage: Eukaryota; Metazoa; Chordata; Actinopteri; Cyprinodontiformes; Fundulidae
Description: Small nucleolar RNA SNORD111 (ENSFHEG00000000443.1)
Source: RNAcentral